UACGUAGGGUGCGAGCGUUGUCCGGAAUUAUUGGGCGUAAAGGGCUCGUAGGCGGUCUGUUGCGUCAGGAGUGAAAACUCGGGGCUUAACCCCGAGCCUGCUUCUGAUACGGGCAGACUAGAGGUAUGCAGGGGAGAACGGAAUUCCUGGUGUAGCGGUGAAAUGCGUAGAUAUCAAGAGGAACACCUGAGGCGAAGGCGGGUUGCGAGGCUGACACUGACGCUGAGGCGCGAAAGCCAGGGGAGCAAACGGG
Molecule: ribosomal RNA, 253 nt
Filed under: uncultured bacterium
Lineage: Bacteria
Description: partial 16S ribosomal RNA
Rfam family: Bacterial small subunit ribosomal RNA
Source: RNAcentral